RNAcentral lists this long non-coding RNA (453 nucleotides) under Pan troglodytes (chimpanzee). Its description in RNAcentral is "lincRNA". The record is from RNAcentral. Lineage: Eukaryota; Metazoa; Chordata; Mammalia; Primates; Hominidae.
AUCAGAUUUUGCUUCAAAAAUUUUGGACCUUUGUUACUAGGUACAUAAACAUCUGAAGUGUUUAUUGGAGCUCUUUUCCUAGAACUGAUAAUUGGAUUCAUGGUAUUCUGGAGAACAAGGAAGAAAACUGAAGCCCAGAAAGCUUAAUAUAUUACCCAAAGAGUUAGUCCACAUUGAACUGGGAGUUAAUCCUUGUCUGUCUGGCUGGAAAGCUUUUGCUCUGUAUCUUGGAUGAAUAAACUAAACCUUAGGCAAUCUUCCUAGAAGAAACCAUAUAACGACUCCUAUAUUGGAAGCUAAAUUACAACACAAAGAUUGCUUGGUGAGCAUGUGAUCCAAACAGGGCAAGAUGAAGACCUUUAGAGGCCACAAGCAUUUUAGUGUGCCUCCCAACUUCCCUUAUAUUAUUCAAAAUAUAAACAAUAAAAUCUACAAAGAUAUGAAAGAAGUCCA